CCUACGGGUGGCAGCAGUGGGGAAUAUUGGGCAAUGGGCGCAAGCCUGACCCAGCAACGCCGCGUGAAGGAAGAAGGCCCUCGGGUUGUAAACUUCUUUUAUCAAGGACGAAACAAAUGACGGUACUUGAUGAAUAAGCCACGGCUAACUACGUGCCAGCAGCCGCGGUAAUACGUAGGUGGCAAGCGUUAUCCGGAUUUACUGGGUGUAAAGGGCGUGUAGGCGGCUGUGCAAGUCUGAAGUGAAAGCCCGUGGCUCAACCGCGGAACUGCUUUGGAAACUGUAUAGCUUGAGUACUGGAGAGGCAGGCGGAAUUCCUAGUGUAGCGGUGAAAUGCGUAGAUAUUAGGAGGAACACCAGUGGCGAAGGCGGCCUGCUGGACAGAAACUGACGUUGAGGCUCGAAAGCGUGGGGAGCAAACAGGAUUAGAUACCCUUGUAGUC
RNAcentral lists this ribosomal RNA (443 nucleotides) under uncultured bacterium. RNAcentral's name for it is "partial 16S ribosomal RNA". It matches the Rfam family "Bacterial small subunit ribosomal RNA", at positions 338 to 795 of the family's 1533-position model. The record is from RNAcentral.